Non-coding RNA from Myotis davidii, 401 nucleotides. The record is from the annotation of a RefSeq genome assembly. Lineage: Eukaryota; Metazoa; Chordata; Mammalia; Chiroptera; Vespertilionidae.
AAGGACCUCACCUGCAAGACAUGACUCCCAUGUGGCUCUUCCUCUUCCUACUGUCAGCUCCCAGAUGUGUCCUGUCCCAGGUGCAGCUGCAGGAGUUGGGCCCAGGCCUGGUGAAGCCCUCGCAGACCCUCUCCCUCACCUGCACUGUGUCCGGGGGCUCAGUCACCACCAGUGACUACUGGAGCUGGAUCCGCCAGUCCCCAGGGGAAAGGUUGCAGUGGAUGGGGCACUGGAGAGGGGGUACAAUCUACAACCCAGCCUUCCAGGGCCGCAUCUCUAUCACUGCUGACACAGCCAGGAACCAGUUCUCCCUGCAGCUGAGUUCCUUGACCACCGAGGACACGGCCAUGUAUUACUGUGCGAGAGACACAGUGUGGGGAACUCUCAUCUGCUGCCUGUGA